GGCUCGGUGGUGGAUGGUCCGUACCUGUGUCCUGUGGAAAAUCCGCAAUGCAUCUAAGCAGGGGAUGCCUGUUCGAAUCAGGUCUGAGCCA
This is a non-coding RNA of Mycena metata, 91 nucleotides long. NCBI's taxonomy places the organism in Eukaryota, Fungi, Basidiomycota, Agaricomycetes, Agaricales, Mycenaceae. The record is from the annotation of a GenBank genome assembly.